CCUACGGGAGGCAGCAGUCGAGAAUUUUUCACAAUGGACGAAAGUCUGAUGGAGCGACGCCGCGUGGAGGAUGAAGGUUUUCGGAUUGUAAACUCCUGUCACUGCAGAACAAGGUAACGCAUGUUAAUAGCAAGCGUUAUUGAUGGUAUGCGGAGAGGAAGGGACGGCUAACUCUGUGCCAGCAGCCGCGGUAAU
This 195-nucleotide ribosomal RNA is filed under the name uncultured Verrucomicrobiales bacterium. RNAcentral's name for it is "partial 16S ribosomal RNA". It matches the Rfam family "Bacterial small subunit ribosomal RNA", at positions 338 to 524 of the family's 1533-position model. Lineage: Bacteria; Pseudomonadati; Verrucomicrobiota; Verrucomicrobiia; Verrucomicrobiales. The record is from RNAcentral.